AACGAACGCUGGCGGCAUGCCUAACACAUGCCAGUCGAACGAGACCUUCGGGUCUAGUGGCGCACGGGUGCGUAACGCGUGGGAACCUGCCCUUAGGUUCGGAAUAACUCCCCGAAAGGGGUGCUAAUACCGGAUAAUGUCUUCGGACCAAAGAUUUAUCGCCUUUGGAUGGGCCCGCGUUGGAUUGGCUAGUUGGUAGGGUAAAAGCCUACCAAGGCGACGAUCCAUAGCUGGUCUGAGAGGAUGAUCAGCCACACUGGGACUGAGACACGGCCCAGACUCCUACGGGAGGCAGCAGUGGGGAAUAUUGGACAAUGGGCGAAAGCCUGAUCCAGCAAUGCCGCGUGAGUGAUGAAGGCCUUAGGGUUGUAAAGCUCUUUUACCCGGGAUGAUAAUGACAGUACCGGGAGAAUAAGCUCCGGCUAACUCCGUG
RNAcentral lists this ribosomal RNA (433 nucleotides) under uncultured bacterium. Its description in RNAcentral is "partial 16S ribosomal RNA". It matches the Rfam family "Bacterial small subunit ribosomal RNA", at positions 29 to 507 of the family's 1533-position model. The record is from RNAcentral.